AUCUUGGGAACCAGCCGUCUUGGUAGAGCGGUAUUGGGGGGGCGCCGAGCUGGCUACCCUCCCCCCCUGUGGUUUCCGGAGGCUUGAUCGCCCGGCGUUGCCGCAGGGUCUUCCCGUUUGAGUACUUUUCAAUUUAGACCCAGUGCUGUGGAAGGGCGCGGACUUGUGCGGUGUUACCCCCUCGACGGGGGCUAUCUCCCCUGGACUAGCCCAGGGAGGGAGAGGCGGAGGAGGGUAGUAGUCUCAGGAGGCUGUUUGGCGUCUUGUGGUGUGAGCUCUUUGCGCUCUUUUUUGCGUGAGGAUUUUUGAGCUUGGUGACCUCCCCAGCCCGGGAAGACUCGUCGGGCUCCCGGUCGCCCAAGUCCUGGUAGCGAGCUCUCUGAGAUGCUCGGUUCGUUCGGUCGGCAGGAAGAGCCCCCCAGUUGCGACUUCGUUUAUGUUAGGAGACCAACGGGCAUAGAUCCCGUCUAGUUGGAGCGCCAAACAAGCGCUGUUGCGUGCCGGCCGUCGUUUCCCGUGCGGCCUGACCCGGGGGCGGAGUGCAUGAGACUAACCAGCCGUAUGCACCCGCCCCCCGCGCUGUGCUUCGGCCCUGGGCCCCCGGCUUUUCAGCCCACAGUGUAAUCAACGUCAUACAUACAUACAUACAUACAUACAUACAUACAUACAUACAUACAUACAUACAUACAUACACCUCCCCAGCCCGGGAUACCUCCCCAGCCCGGGAUGACUCGUCGGGCUCCCGGUCGCCCAAGUCCUGGUAGCGAGCUCUCUGAGAUGCUCGGUUCGUUCGGUCGGCAGGUAGAGCCCCCCAGUUGCGACUUCGUUUAUGUUAGGAGACCAACGGGCAUAGAUCCCGUCUAGUUGGAGCGCCAAACAAGCGCUGUUGCGUGCCGGCCGUCGUUUCCCGUGCGGCCUGACCCGGGGGCGGAGUGCAUGAGACUAACCAGCCGUAUGCUCCCGCCCCCCGCGCUGUGCUUCGGCCCUGGGCCCCCGGCUUUUCAGCCCACAGUGUAAUCAACGUCAUACAUACAUACAUACAUACAU
Molecule: long non-coding RNA, 1047 nt
Filed under: Volvox carteri
Lineage: Eukaryota; Viridiplantae; Chlorophyta; Chlorophyceae; Chlamydomonadales; Volvocaceae
Description: long non-coding RNA (VCAR_LNC004121)
Source: RNAcentral